This 491-nucleotide ribosomal RNA is filed under the name uncultured bacterium. RNAcentral describes it as "partial 16S ribosomal RNA". It matches the Rfam family "Bacterial small subunit ribosomal RNA", at positions 29 to 507 of the family's 1533-position model. The record is from RNAcentral.
AGUGAACGCUGGCGGUAGGCCUAACACAUGCAAGUCGAACGGCAGCACAGUAAGAGCUUGCUCUUACGGGUGGCGAGUGGCGGACGGGUGAGGAAUACAUCGGAAUCUACUUUUUCGUGGGGAUAAAGGAGGGAAACUUACGCUAAUACCGCAUACGAACUACGGGUGAAAGCAGGGGAUCUUCGGACCUUGCGCGAUUGAAUGAGCCGAUGUCGGAUUAGCUAGUUGGCGGGGUAAAGGCCCACCAAGGCGACGAUCCGUAGCUGGUCUGAGAGGAUGAUCAGCCACACUGGAACUGAGACACGGUCCAGACUCCUACGGGAGGCAGCAGUGGGGAAUAUUGGACAAUGGGCGCAAGCCUGAUCCAGCCAUACCGCGUGGGUGAAGAAGGCCUUCGGGUUGUAAAGCCCUUUUGUUGGGAAAGAAAAGCAGCAGGUUAAUACCCCGCUGUUCUGACGGUACCCAAAGAAUAAGCACCGGCUAACUUCGUG